UACGGGGGGGGCAAGCGUUGUUCGGAAUUACUGGGCGUAAAGGGUUUGUAGGUGGCUUGCUAAGUCAGACGUGAAAUCCCUCAGCUUAACUGGGGAACUGCGUCUGAGACUGGCAAGCUUGAGUGCAGGAGAGGAACGCGGAAUUCCAGGUGUAGCGGUGAAAUGCGUAGAUAUCGGGAGGAACACCUGAGGCGAAGGCGGGCUACUGGGCCGAUACUGACGCUGAUGCGCGAAAGCCAGGGGAGCAAACGGG
Molecule: ribosomal RNA, 253 nt
Filed under: uncultured bacterium
Lineage: Bacteria
Description: partial 16S ribosomal RNA
Rfam family: Bacterial small subunit ribosomal RNA
Source: RNAcentral